RNAcentral lists this ribosomal RNA (465 nucleotides) under uncultured bacterium. RNAcentral describes it as "partial 16S ribosomal RNA". It matches the Rfam family "Bacterial small subunit ribosomal RNA", at positions 338 to 795 of the family's 1533-position model. The record is from RNAcentral.
CCUACGGGAGGCAGCAGUAGGGAAUCUUCCACAAUGGGCGAAAGCCUGAUGGAGCAACGCCGCGUGGGUGAAGAAGGUCUUCGGAUCGUAAAACCCUGUUGUUAGAGAAGAAAGUGCGUGAGAGUAACUGUUCACGUUUCGACGGUAUCUAACCAGAAAGCGACGGCUAACUACGUGCCAGCAGCCGCGGUAAUACGUAGGUGGCAAGCGUUAUCCGGAUUUAUUGGGCGUAAAGGGAACGCAGGCGGUCUUUUAAGUCUGAUGUGAAAGCCUUCGGCUUAACCGGAGUAGUGCAUUGGAAACUGGGCGACUAGAGUGUAGAAGAGGAGAGUGGAACUCCAUGUGUAGCGGUGAAAUGCGUAGAUAUAUGGAAGAACACCAGUGGCGAAAGCGGCUCUCUGGUCUGUAACUGACGCUGAGGUUCGAAAGCGUGGGUAGCAAACAGGAUUAGAUACCCCGGUAGUC